Equus caballus (horse) is the source of this 3337-nucleotide long non-coding RNA. Lineage: Eukaryota; Metazoa; Chordata; Mammalia; Perissodactyla; Equidae. The record is from Ensembl.
CUUCUCUAACACCAGCAGAAAAAUCACAUUAUUUUUAUUAUGUAAGCCUUAUACGAUUUUGAAACUGCAACAACUAUUAUGUCUCUUGUAGGAAAAUGAAAUCUAAAUAUAUUUCUCUUACUGAAUUUCCCUGGAAACAGUUAAACACGAAGGCAUUGAUUUGCUUAUAGUCUAACUUCAUCAUACCAAAAUGUAUCCGCUUACAAGUUUGCAAAUAUGUCACUGAAGAUACUGUAGAAUAUAUCUGAAAUGUGAACUCCCCUCUUUAGAAACUCCACAGCUGUUCAAGCGAAUGAAUUCUGCAAUGAGAGGUUUUUGAGAAAAAGGCAGAACUACAACCCAAGCUGCUGCAGACUCCCUUUCUUUGCACCUAUACAUGAGGCCUCAGCCUGGAUGACGCCAUGUGGGCUAGGGGAGCAUGCUCAUUAUGUUGAAAAUCCUUCUCAAAGCAGAGCAUCUUUAUGGGGUGUCUUCUGAUAUUUCAACAGUCAACUGUUACCCUUGCAUCUGUGAUGGUGAAAAUGUCAACAUGGUACAUGGUAUGAUUAAUAAUGUAGUGAAGAGUAAAUCGCUCAGAAGCAUGAACCAAAGCCCUUAACAGGUGGAAUGAUCGUCUGGACGGAUCUGCCUCAUGUGAACCUUUCUGAAGGGCAGGAUCUAGUCAAAGCAACCUAGAUCUUAUGCCAGGUGGCAAUCUUGAAAUAUUCUGAUGGCUGAUUUUGUUCUGAAGCACUGCAUUUGGCAAAACGGAGUAAUUUGGGUGAAAAGAAUUUCAUAAAAGAUAUGAAUUCUGACGACAAACAUAGCAAUUUUCUAAUUAAUUGCUCUGUCCUAAACUGACCUAUAAAGAAUAGCAAAGGUGCUUAUUUCCAUUCUAAAGAUCACACACCAAAAUGAUAAUUGGUACAGAAACCAAUUAUUUUCACAUAUUAAUCAGGCCAAAAGAGGAAGUAAUGAUGUUAAAACACAUUUGUCACAAUAUCUUGAAUCCAACUAUGCGAGGAAUGAUUGCUCAAUAACUGGCUUGCAGAUUUCCAGAAGCUACAAUUCUGUGAUCACAUUAGCAUGUGCCAUGUUUCAUCAGUACCAUUUUUUGUAACAUACAUUUUAUGUUCCCUGGCCUUGAGAAAAUCUUGAAAUCUGUUUAAUUAGAGAUUCCACAAAGAAAACUACAAGAAGAUAUCAAUCUACUGUUACAAAUAUAAAUUCUGGGCCUCUAAACAAAUUUCACUAGAAAACUUUUCACUGUGCUUCCUCAAUCCUCACUCUGCACUGACACCAUUACGGAUGUAUAAGUUUUUCACACAGCUUUCUUAGUUUAGACAAUGAAUGGAAAAUCUCCUUAAGUAGAUACGCCAUGAAGAAUCACUCUAAUGCUCUCACUGAAAACAGAGGGGGAGCAGCAACCAUUGUGCGUAAAGAUCAUUCCUUCUGCAGGGAUUUACCAGCAGUGCCUUAUUCCUUGCUCUGUAAAUUGUGGCCUAAGGAGGUAGUGGACCAAUUUGAUAGGAAGCUCUGGCCUUCUACAGUGGAAAGAUUACACCCACUCUUUCGAAGUUAGAAAGGGCCAAUGCAACAAUAGAUGAUGCUAGGAGGGCUAAUAAAUGAUGAGGGACAGCGGCAGCACCAAGCACGGAGAUCAAAACAGAAGUAUUUCUUGGUCUCCUUUGUGGCAGAAACUUUAGCUGCUCAGAUAGCCUCCUGUGGCCACCUUGUAAGUGGGAAAGUGACAAUAUGUGUGAAUUGAAAUAUCUGCAGGACAUGGCAGAGUGAGGGAGUCAAAGGAGCAUUAAUCUGAAGGCCCUGGUAUAUACAGAUGAGCAUCUUCACUGGGAGAAACAUUGGACAGUUUACCCUCAGAUUGACCAGGGAAGCUGAUAUCCUAGCUACAGUGGGACCUGAGGCUUAUCCCGCUCUCCACCAUUAGAACGCACUCCAUCAACCCCAGAUCGCAGUCUGCACUAACAGCCCCUUCACCUUUUGGGGCGUAACAUAGGACUGAACUGGUCUCACCCUCAGUCCGUUAAGGUACACUUAGCUACAUGGGCUCCCAAAGCAUUUAAAAGGGAAAACAUUUGAUCAUUGGAGGGGAAUAGACUGGAUUUCUGGACUUCAUGUUAUGACCAAGCAAUGUCGUCACAGCAAUACACUCUGAGGAUUGAAUGAGCAAUCUUAUUUUCAUCCCACUUUUAGGGGUGCUCUUCUCCAGCGACCAACACUCUACUCUGACCCAGGGACUAAAUCUGGUCUGCUACCUAUUGCUGUGUGACCUGUGAGCUAAGAAUACUUUUAAUAUUUUUAAACAGUUAAAUUUAAGUAGUUAUACCUACAACCACUUGUAGGUAUGGUUUUACCUACAUAAUAUCCUAAGAAUUUGUCUCCUUCCCUCCAAGCUUAGAAUAUUUUCUACCUUGCCCUUUAAAGAAGAAGCUUACCAAUUCCUGCCCUAGUUACACGAAGUAAGAGCUGUUUCUACUAGAAGAACCCUUUAGUCAGUUGCUUAAAUCUAGAUGAUUGCAGCUGUCUGCCUAUUAAAAUAUUUAUUAAAUAUGUUAUAAAAUAGGUCAUUACAUAGAUGGUAUUGGAGCACACAGCUCCUUGACUUCAAAGAAAUUAGAUAAUUUGUAUAUAUUGAGUUGUGUAAUGGUAAUCAUAUCUUGAAUGACUCUAGAAAAUACCAAUUUGUAUCUUCCAUGUAGUAAAAAUAAGAACCCAAUGACUAUCUGGGUAAAAUAGCUAAUAUUCCAAUACUAAAGAGGAAGGUUUUCAUUUUCAUUGUAAGCUUAGCAUUUCCCAACAAUUAUAAACAGAUCAUUACUAUUCCAUGAGUUAAGUUAACAUAUUGAGUAAUAUUUGUGAAAUUUUAGUAUAAAAACUCAAAUAGGUUUUUCCCACAGGACUACUUAGAGACUUCACAGUGCAGCCAUAUUCUGUGUUAGCUUCCUUUUCAUAACACUAGAUCAUUUAGGUUUAUGGGCCUAUUCUACAUUCUCAGUUCUCAAGGCUCAAAUAAGCCCUGCAGCCUCUCAAUGACAGGAAUGGAACAUGGCAUCCGGGAUCCAGCCAAAGAGGAGAUGACAAUAUUGAUUCAUGCUCAAGAAAAGCUAGGCCUGGAAAUUUUUAUUGAGUGGCUGGGAAAAGGUAAUUUUUAAAAAUAUCUCUGUUCAAUGGCCCUGUCAUCACUUCUGUAGAGAACUUGGCAUUCCUUUUUUUCAAAUAAAACUCUAUUUAGAGUGAUUUUAUAUAAAGUUUGUAUUUACAAGUUUGUAUUUAUAUAUUAUUUUAUUGAAGUAAAAAAUCAUCCUUGAACAAUAUUGUAUCUGUGAGUAACUAAAGU